This 666-nucleotide ribosomal RNA is filed under the name Hepatozoon canis. RNAcentral describes it as "bacterial SSU rRNA". It matches the Rfam family "Eukaryotic small subunit ribosomal RNA", at positions 167 to 821 of the family's 1831-position model. The record is from RNAcentral. Lineage: Eukaryota; Apicomplexa; Hepatozoidae.
AUACAUGAGCAAAAUCUCAACUUUAUUAGAAGAGACGCAUUUAUUAGAUAAAAAGCCAAUGCAUGCUUUUACAGUAUGGAAAUUGGUGAUUUAUAAUAACUUAGCAAAUCGCAAAGUGAAAACAGGCGAUAAAUCAUUCAAGUUUCUGACCUAUCAGCUUUCGACGGUAUGGUAUUGGCUUACCGUGGCAGUGACGGUUAACGGGGGAUUAGGGUUCGAUUCCGGAGAGGGAGCCUGAGAAACGGCUACCACAUCUAAGGAAGGCAGCAGGCGCGCAAAUUACCCAAUUCUAACAGUUUGAGAGAGGUAGUAACAAGAAAUAACAAUACAAGGCAAUUAAAAUGCUUUGUAAUUGGAAUGAUAGAAAUUUAAACCCUUUUUAAAGUAUCAAUUGGAGGGCAAGUCUGGUGCCAGCAGCCGCGGUAAUUCCAGCUCCAAUAGCGUAUAUUAAAAUUGUUGCAGUUAAAAAGCUCGUAGUUGAAGUUCUGCUAAAAGUAACCGGUCUGCUUUUAAUAAAAGUGGUAUCUUGGUGUGUAUUUAGCAAUGAUGUCCUUUGAAGUGUUUUUUACUUUAUUGUAAUAAAGCAUAUUCAGGACUUUUACUUUGAGAAAAUUAGAGUGUUUCUAGCAGGCCGACGCUUUGAAUACUGCAGCAUGGAAUAAUAAG